AUACGUAGGUGGCAAGCGUUGUCCGGAUUUACUGGGCGUAAAGGAUGUGUAGGCGGAUACUUAAGUGAGAUGUGAAAGCCCCGGGCUCAACCUGGGGACUGCAUUUCAAACUGGGUAUCUAGAGUGCAGGAGAGGAAAGCGGAAUUCCUAGUGUAGCGGUGAAAUGCGUAGAGAUUAGGAAGAACAUCAGUGGCGAAGGCGGCUUUCUGGACUGUAACUGACGCUGAGGCAUGAAAGCGUGGGGAGCAAACAGGAUUAGAUACCCUGGUAGUCCACGCCGUAAACGAUGAGUACUAGGUGUAGGAGGUAUUGACUCCUUCUGUGCCGCAGUUAACACAAUAAGUACUCCGCCUGGGAAGUACGGUCGCAAGAUUAAA
RNAcentral lists this ribosomal RNA (377 nucleotides) under uncultured bacterium. Its description in RNAcentral is "bacterial SSU rRNA". It matches the Rfam family "Bacterial small subunit ribosomal RNA", at positions 523 to 898 of the family's 1533-position model. The record is from RNAcentral.